This 838-nucleotide long non-coding RNA is filed under the name Salvia miltiorrhiza (redroot sage). RNAcentral's name for it is "long non-coding RNA (SMIL_LNC007101)". The record is from RNAcentral. Lineage: Eukaryota; Viridiplantae; Streptophyta; Magnoliopsida; Lamiales; Lamiaceae.
AGAUUUCAUAACAGAAACGAAAAUAAAUGCGAUUCGCCGAGAACAUAAAUGAACAUAACACAAUUUAUAAAUGAAAAGAACACAAUAUCUAAAUGAACAGAAACAAAGGAAAAUUGGUUUCGAUUGAAGCUCAUUCAAAGUAGCUUGAUCUCCGGGAAAUCACUGAUUUUGCCAGAACCACUGUGGAACUCACGGCUCCAAAUCCACCGCCUCAAGGGAAAAAAUCAUAAAUUCGCCUAUUUACGCCCCGGCAACUGCGCCUGGCCGUUCCACCAGCCAAUUUACGACCCGCAGAGCCCGCCGCUAGUGGCUCCUAACAACGACGUCGGCGCCGACAAAUCCCUUCGGAACAUAAGUUAGAAAAAUUUAACUUAAAUUUACACAUUUACGAACAAAUCAAGAAAUAUUUCGAACAAACACCAAUACUAUCUGAAUCGUUCUCUUUCCCCAUUCCAGAAUCGACAGGACACAAUUUUCCUAUACAAUAUAACAAAUUCAGAAGUCAAAAUCAGAGGAAAAAACUAAAGAUACACAGCCAACAAAAAAUUUUGAACAUAAUUUCAAAAACCCAGCAAAAAUUAGAUUCAAAACCCCUAAAACCCCAAAAAAAUAAAAAUUGAACAAAAAAACAGAAAAGAAAUCGCAUUACCUGUUCGAUUUCAGCCCAAAUCUUGUCUUCAAGCAAAAUCGUCGACCAAGAACUUCGAUAUAACCGGUAAAAUAAAUUAACGAUCGGAAAGCAGAGAAAAUAUUAUCGAAAAUCUGUAGAUAUCAACCAAUUCUUUUUUUAACGAUACAUCUGAGGGAUUGGAACAAGAGAGAGAGAGAGNAUAUAUAU